This 253-nucleotide ribosomal RNA is filed under the name uncultured bacterium. RNAcentral describes it as "partial 16S ribosomal RNA". It matches the Rfam family "Bacterial small subunit ribosomal RNA", at positions 524 to 776 of the family's 1533-position model. The record is from RNAcentral.
UACGGAGGGUGCUAGCGUUGUUCGGAAUCACUGGGCGUAAAGCGCGCGUAGGCGGUCUGCUAAGUCUGAUGUGAAAGCCCGGGGCUCACCCCCGGAAGUGCAUUGGAAACUGGCAGACUGGAGUCCCGGAGAGGGGGGUGGAAUUCCUGGUGUAGCGGUGAAAUGCGUAGAUAUCAGGAGGAACACCGGUGGCGAAGGCGGCCCUCUGGACGGUGACUGACGCUGAGACGCGAAAGCGUGGGGAGCAAACAGG